RNAcentral lists this small RNA (111 nucleotides) under Croceitalea rosinachiae. RNAcentral's name for it is "6S RNA". It matches the Rfam family "6S-Flavo RNA". The record is from RNAcentral. Lineage: Bacteria; Pseudomonadati; Bacteroidota; Flavobacteriia; Flavobacteriales; Flavobacteriaceae.
ACUCAACGUUAUUACAUUUAAAAAGGGUGAGUUUAAGUUGUAAAAGCGGGCCCUACUCGCAUAGGGAUUCUUGAGCAGCUUGUUAGCCCUAAACCUGUUAUUUAGGAGUUU